UUGAGGAAGAUCACAUUUUGUGGUCGAAACGUGAACCAGUCAGCUAUGACCAUAUGAUGAGAAGAAUAAAUAAAGUUCAAUGUCUGCCAAGUCCCUGGAAAGUGCACUCUGCUUAUUGAAAGUAACAUGUAUACAUAUACAUGUAUAUCUCUAAUUCUGACAGCCUGCAGCUGAAGCUGUUCACAGGAGCAGAGAAGUCAGAAGACAGGAACAGCUGCAUAUGCAGUUUGUCACUCUGUUCCAGUGGAAUCAACUGGAGAGCACUGUAAAUUUGUGACAGAAUUUGGGAAACCACUGUGGGGGCUACCCACCAGUUACUAAUGUAUAGCAGCCACAUGGAGGAUGUCACAGCAGCCCAACACAGCCCACAGAUUGAAGAAGAGAUAGUCAUCCACGUCCAGCCGAACCCAUCGAUGGUCAUCCACGUCCAGCCGAACCCAUCGACGGUUUGAAAGAACUUCUCGUCAUCACACCGAACUCUGGUCACGGUUUGAAAGAACUUCUCGUCAUCACACCGAACUCUGGUCACGCUCCUGAUGGCUCUCUAAUGAAUAUUUGGAAUUCCUCUGUAACUCUUUUUGAUACGUCAUCUCGCAAGGCAUCUCCGUUUCUACAGAUGUAAAUUUUUAUGCUGUGCAUGGUGGUAAAUAGGAGUGACACUCCUUUGGUUAGAUAUAUUACUAUCAAUGUAUGGUUUUUGUUGAGCUAUUUUCCUCCCGGUUGUUGUUCUACCAAGUUACUGGUGACUUGGAUGUGCCUGGGAUUGUUUUUACACCUGCUCCCUUGGGGGUAUGGGUCGAUCCGUGGCCCAUCCAUAGUCACCAAAAUCUUUCUUCUCUUUUUUGCUUUUCUUGGAUUGUUUGUUUUGCUGCAUCCUAAUGCUUUUCCUAUGUCCCUCCCUCCCCUCUCUUUUAAUGGGAUUUCGUGUGCUGUCCUGUGGAGUCUGUCAUAUGUGCAUUCAUGUCAAUUAAUAUCUGAAACUCAAUUGCUUUGUACUUACUGUAUUUAACCUUUUAUGACAGAACUUAAUAUAGCCUCUUGGAAUGUGGG
Pseudophryne corroboree (corroboree frog) is the source of this 1050-nucleotide long non-coding RNA. RefSeq lists it as uncharacterized. The record is from RefSeq and is a predicted model, not a curated record. The transcript has 6 exons. Lineage: Eukaryota; Metazoa; Chordata; Amphibia; Anura; Myobatrachidae.